AGCCUUGUUAGACGCUGACAUCUCUCUCACACCCACGAACACACACUGACAUCUCUCUCUAUAGAGACUCGAUAAAGAACCAACUCACCCAUUAAUCUUUCUAAUACACCUCUCUCUCUCUCUCUCUCAACCGCUCCCAUAACCGCACUUCUACAGUUUCACUCCACCUCCACUCCACAGAGAAAUGGAACAGGCUAAACAUCAGUCAAUGUUCCGGCCGCCGGAGACUCCAAGAGAGCCAAUGGAGUUCUUAUCCCGUUCUUGGAGUGUUUCAGCUCAUGAAAUCUCUAAAGCUCUUUCUCCUCCACUGCAUCUAGUAGGCACGAAUACCACAAAUCUUGGCGCUCCUCCACCUGGAGGCGGCGGUGAAACCAUUCAUGAAGAUUUCUCCGGCGAGUUGGAG
RNAcentral lists this long non-coding RNA (403 nucleotides) under Olea europaea subsp. europaea. The record is from RNAcentral. Lineage: Eukaryota; Viridiplantae; Streptophyta; Magnoliopsida; Lamiales; Oleaceae.